RNAcentral lists this ribosomal RNA (482 nucleotides) under uncultured bacterium. RNAcentral describes it as "partial 16S ribosomal RNA". It matches the Rfam family "Bacterial small subunit ribosomal RNA", at positions 28 to 507 of the family's 1533-position model. The record is from RNAcentral.
GACGAACGCUGGCGGCGUGCUUAACACAUGCAAGUCGAACGCUGAAGCUCAGCUUGCUGGGUGGAUGAGUGGCGAACGGGUGAGUAACGCGUGAGUAACCUGCCCUCUUCUUUGGGAUAACGCCCGGAAACGGGUGCUAAUACUGGAUAUUCACUGAUUCUCGCAUGGGGGUUGGUGGAAAGGUUUUUUCUGGUGGGGGAUGGGCUCGCGGCCUAUCAGCUUGUUGGUGGGGUGAUGGCCUACCAAGGCUUUGACGGGUAGCCGGCCUGAGAGGGUGACCGGUCACAUUGGGACUGAGAUACGGCCCAGACUCCUACGGGAGGCAGCAGUGGGGAAUAUUGCACAAUGGGCGAAAGCCUGAUGCAGCGACGCCGCGUGAGGGAUGGAGGCCUUCGGGUUGUAAACCUCUUUCGCUCAUGGUCAAGCCGCAGCUUUGGGUUGUGGUGAGGGUAGUGGGUAAAGAAGCGCCGGCUAACUACGUG